CACAAAUAUGGGAGGGCUACAUGGGAAGCAUGGUAGUAAAAUUGGCCAUAAAACAGGUGGUGAAAAUAUAUAUGCUGGUGUUACAGGAAAAAUCAAAUUGACACCGGACCAACAUCGCAUCAACAUCUUAGGACUCAGUGUAACUUAACAACUGAAGAGAUCAUGUGGGGAAAUCUGACGGCAUUGACUGUUUGCCUUUUAGGCACAGUAUUCAUAUGUGGAGUUAGCAGCACCACAACACCACCAGGGGUUCCAACAACCCCGGCUCCAGGUAGUACAGUGAAACCGACAACCAUCGUUCCAUCAACAACACCAGAGAUUCCAACAACGAAAACGACAACAGAGAAUCCAGCAACGGAACCGCCAACAGCGAAUCCAGCAACGAACCCGACAUCAGAGAAUCCGACAUCAGCAAAUCCAACAAAGCCUACGACAUCCGAAGGCACCCAGAAACCACACACCACCGACGCGGGGCAGGAGCCGGCGCCAGAGGGGCUGAGCGAUGGGGCAAUCGCAGGAAUUGCCGUCGGUUCAAUCGCCGGUGCGGCUGCCUUGGGUGGCGGUAUCUUUGGUCUGCUGAAGUACACUGGAAAGAUUUGAGGAGGGUUGAUUAGUGUUUUAAUAGUAGGUUUGAUGACCUUUGCUCUAUUGUUCGAUAUUUCAAAGAGUUCUAUGAUUUCCUGCUAUCAAUGCCUCCCUUGAAGAAACAUCUGACUUCAAUGCCAUAUAUUUUCAAAAUAUAAUUUAAUAUAUAAUUUAAAUAAUACGCAAAUACAGAGCUCGAAGUCCAUUGUUUGACAGGAUGUUUCAUGUCAAUGCAUGUAUAUAUUAGUUUUUUUAUAUCGUCAUUUUGGAAUUCUCUUGGGUGUCUGGGGAUUAUUUCAGGGGAACAUCUGUUUUAACGUUGGUUCUUACAGGCUACAGCUUAAUAUGUAGCCCAAAUAAAAUGUUAAAAUAUGAUUAAAAUGUUAACACAAUAAGCAACAAAUCA
This is a long non-coding RNA of Gadus morhua (Atlantic cod), 991 nucleotides long. RefSeq lists it as uncharacterized. The transcript is spliced from 4 exons. NCBI's taxonomy places the organism in Eukaryota, Metazoa, Chordata, Actinopteri, Gadiformes, Gadidae. The record is from RefSeq and is a predicted model, not a curated record.